This 239-nucleotide ribosomal RNA is filed under the name uncultured bacterium. RNAcentral describes it as "partial 16S ribosomal RNA". It matches the Rfam family "Bacterial small subunit ribosomal RNA", at positions 95 to 334 of the family's 1533-position model. The record is from RNAcentral.
CGGGCGAACGGGUGAGUAACACGUGGGUGACCUGCCCUCCACUCUGGGAUAAGCCUGGGAAACUGGGUCUAAUACCGGAUAUGACCUCAUGCCGCAUGGUGUGGGGUGGAAAGCUUUAUGUGGUGGGGGAUGGACCCGCGGCCUAUCAGCUUGUUGGUGGGGUAAUGGCCUACCAAGGCGACGACGGGUAGCCGGCCUGAGAGGGCGACCGGCCACACUGGGACUGAGACACGGCCCAG